CUUACUAACAAGAUCAGUGGUAGUUAUGUAUAAUAUGGAGCUGUUCAUCACCUUCUGCCAUGGCCCUUCUGGAAGGAGAAUGUAAUUGGACGCCUUUUUUGCAACAGAAGUAACUGCCGUUGCCCUUCUGAACUCACCCGGAUACCGAUAUUCUUUCCUUUACACCUCAAGCAUUCACCAAAAGAAGAAAAACAAAAUUCUUUUUUUUUUUUCUUCUUCUUCUUGAAGAUAUGGCCGGAGAAA
Long non-coding RNA from Ipomoea nil (Japanese morning glory), 243 nucleotides. RefSeq lists it as uncharacterized. Lineage: Eukaryota; Viridiplantae; Streptophyta; Magnoliopsida; Solanales; Convolvulaceae. The record is from RefSeq and is a predicted model, not a curated record. The transcript is spliced from 2 exons.